UUUUAUCCCCUCCGUGGUGCGACAAGUCGCUUCCUGCCCUACAGGAGCCCAGCCCCGGACGAAGCCGCCCGCGAGGCUAUCACUUGGUCGCUUGGGAGCUGAGGACGGUCUGGCGGCUCCACCGAGACCCUGAACCAAUCCAGCAGUGCUUUGAAAGGAAACUCAUUCAGGGCCACUGAAAACUCAAGAGAGGAUCAAGUCCCAUGUCUGAUGAAUUCCUGCCUUUCUGAAAGAGCUGCCACCAAGAGUCUGGGAGAGAUGCAGGCAGAAGAGUGAAGUGGAAGUUCUCAGAAACACUGAGAAAUCAUGGGCUCUGC
Non-coding RNA from Castor canadensis (American beaver), 317 nucleotides. NCBI's taxonomy places the organism in Eukaryota, Metazoa, Chordata, Mammalia, Rodentia, Castoridae. The record is from RefSeq and is a predicted model, not a curated record.